UAGAGUUUGAUUCUGGCUCAGGACGAACGCUGGCGGCGUGCUUAACACAUGCAAGUCGAGCGGUAAGGCCCUUUCGGGGGUACACGAGCGGCGAACGGGUGAGUAACACGUGGGUGACCUGCCCUCAGCUCUGGGAUAAGCCCGGGAAACUGGGUCUAAUACUGGAUAUGACUCCAUGACGCAUGUUGUGGGGUGGAAAGCCUUGUGCGGCUGAGGAUGGGCCCGCGGCCUAUCAGCUUGUUGGUGGGGUGAUGGCCUACCAAGGCGACGACGGGUAGCCGGCCUGAGAGGGCGACCGGCCACACUGGGACUGAGACACGGCCCAGACUCCUACGGGAGGCAGCAGUGGGGAAUCUUGCGCAAUGGGCGAAAGCCUGACGCAGCGACGCCGCGUGAGGGAUGACGGCCUUCGGGUUGUAAACCUCUUUCAGCUCCGACGAAGCGGAAGUGACGGUAGGAGCAGAAGAAGCACCGGCCAACUACGUGCCAGCAGUCGCGGUAAUACGUAGGGUGCAAGCGUUGUCCGGAAUUAUUGGGCGUAAAGAGCUCGUAGGCGGUCUGUCGCGUCGGCUGUGAAAACUCGGGGCUCAACUCCGAGCUUGCAGUCGAUACGGGCAGGCUAGAGUUCGGCAGGGGAGACUGGAAUUCCUGGUGUAGCGGUGAAAUGCGCAGAUAUCAGGAGGAACACCGGUGGCGAAGGCGGGUCUCUGGGCCGAUACUGACGCUGAGGAGCGAAAGCGUGGGGAGCGAACAGGAUUAGAUACCCUGGUAGUCCACGCCGUAAACGUUGGGCGCUAGGUGUGGGAUCCCUUCCACGGGUUCCGUGCCGCAGCUAACGCAUUAAGCGCCCCGCCUGGGGAGUACGGCCGCAAGGCUAAAACUCAAAUGAAUUGACGGGG
RNAcentral lists this ribosomal RNA (899 nucleotides) under uncultured Actinomycetes bacterium. RNAcentral describes it as "bacterial SSU rRNA". It matches the Rfam family "Bacterial small subunit ribosomal RNA", at positions 1 to 918 of the family's 1533-position model. Lineage: Bacteria; Bacillati; Actinomycetota; Actinomycetes. The record is from RNAcentral.